Sebastes umbrosus (honeycomb rockfish) is the source of this 264-nucleotide long non-coding RNA. RefSeq lists it as uncharacterized. The transcript is spliced from 3 exons. Lineage: Eukaryota; Metazoa; Chordata; Actinopteri; Perciformes; Sebastidae. The record is from RefSeq and is a predicted model, not a curated record.
GAGAUGACAGGAAGCACAACUUACUUCUCCAAGCCCCAUGUCGAAUCUCCAAUCCUGCUGUGGACAACAGGGCAACUCAUGCCAAAGACUUAACUGUGCUGAGAUGACAGGAACCACAACUUACUCCACCAAAGCAAGGGGGUUGAGGCGUUUCCAUAGCAGCCACCAGCCGGAGAGCGAGUCGCCGUAAUUAGUGAGGUUGGUUUCAUACCGGCUGCCCACGUCAAUAGCUAUCACCACUUUGGCCCCCAUGGAGCGUGCCAC